This 265-nucleotide signal recognition particle RNA is filed under the name Desulfitobacterium metallireducens DSM 15288. RNAcentral describes it as "Bacterial large signal recognition particle RNA". It matches the Rfam family "Bacterial large signal recognition particle RNA". Rfam says of the family: The signal recognition particle (SRP) is a universally conserved ribonucleoprotein involved in the co-translational targeting of proteins to membranes. Archaeal SRP consists of a 7S RNA and homologues of the eukaryotic SRP19 and SRP54 proteins. The record is from Rfam by way of RNAcentral. Lineage: Bacteria; Bacillati; Bacillota; Clostridia; Eubacteriales; Desulfitobacteriaceae.
UCGUGCUAGACGGGGUGGUGGCGGAAUCCUGUAACCUGCAAUCCGCUGUAGCAGGGUGGAAUUCCUGCGCGAGGGCAACGCUUGUGGAGCGGCCAAGUCUAACUUGCGAUGAAAUUUGGGUCUUACGCAACAGAGCACUUCGAACCGUGUCAGAUCCUGACGGAAGCAGCACUAAGGAGCACGCUAUGUGUGCCGUAAGGUCGCCUGAACUGAGCAAGAAAGCUUGGAUUCGUCCGGAAGUGUUUGUUCGGACAAAGGUGCACGA